GACGAACGCUGGCGGCGUGCUUAACACAUGCAAGUCGAACGGAAAGGCCCUGCUUUUGUGGGGUGCUCGAGUGGCGAACGGGUGAGUAACACGUGAGUAACCUGCCCUUGACUUUGGGAUAACUUCAGGAAACUGGGCUAAUACCGGAAAAGAGCUCCUGCUGCCUGGGGGGGGUUGGGAAGUUUGGGCGGGUGGGGAUGGACUCGCGGCUUAUCAGCUUGUUGGGGGGGUAGUGGCUUACCAAGGCUUUGACGGGUAGCCGGCCUGAGAGGGUGACCGGCCACAUUGGGACUGAGAUACGGCCCAGACUCCUACGGGAGGCAGCAGUGGGGAAUAUUGCACAAUGGGCGGAAGCCUGAUGCAGCAACGCCGCGUGCGGGAUGACGGCCUUCGGGUUGUAAACCGCUUUCGCCUGUGACGAAGCGUGAGUGACGGUAAUGGGUAAAGAAGCACCGGCUAACUACGUG
RNAcentral lists this ribosomal RNA (467 nucleotides) under uncultured bacterium. RNAcentral describes it as "partial 16S ribosomal RNA". It matches the Rfam family "Bacterial small subunit ribosomal RNA", at positions 28 to 507 of the family's 1533-position model. The record is from RNAcentral.